GCCUUGGAGUGGGGAAUAACAACUGGAAACAGCUGCUAAUACCGCAUGAUGCAGUUGAGUCGCAUGGCUCUGACUGCCAAAGAUUUAUCGCUCUGAGAUGGACUCGCGUCUGAUUAGCUAGUUGGUGGGGCAACGGCCCACCAAGGCGACGAUCAGUAGCCGGACUGAGAGGUUGGCCGGCCACAUUGGGACUGAGACACGGCCCAGACUCCUACGGAAGGCAGCAG
Molecule: ribosomal RNA, 227 nt
Filed under: uncultured bacterium
Lineage: Bacteria
Description: partial 16S ribosomal RNA
Rfam family: Bacterial small subunit ribosomal RNA
Source: RNAcentral